ACUCCUACGGGAGGCAGCAGUGAGGAAUAUUGGUCAAUGGUCGCAAGACUGAACCAGCCAUGCCGCGUGCAGGAAGACGGUCCUAUGGAUUGUAAACUGCUUUUAUACAGGAAGAAACCCUCCCACGUGUGGGAGCUUGACGGUACUGUAGGAAUAAGGAUCGGCUAACUCCGUGCCAGCAGCCGCGGUAAUACGGAGGAUCCAAGCGUUAUCCGGAAUCAUUGGGUUUAAAGGGUCCGUAGGCGGCCUUAUAAGUCAGUGGUGAAAGCCCAUCGCUCAACGAUGGAACUGCCAUUGAUACUGUAAGGCUUGAAUUAUUGUGAAGUAACUAGAAUAUGUAGUGUAGCGGUGAAAUGCUUAGAUAUUACAUGGAAUACCAAUUGCGAAGGCAGGUUACUAACAAUGGAUUGACGCUGAUGGACGAAAGCGUGGGGAGCGAACAGGAUUAGAUACCCUGGUAGGAUAGCG
This 468-nucleotide ribosomal RNA is filed under the name uncultured bacterium. Its description in RNAcentral is "bacterial SSU rRNA". It matches the Rfam family "Bacterial small subunit ribosomal RNA", at positions 335 to 799 of the family's 1533-position model. The record is from RNAcentral.